Hymenopellis radicata is the source of this 109-nucleotide non-coding RNA. Lineage: Eukaryota; Fungi; Basidiomycota; Agaricomycetes; Agaricales; Physalacriaceae. The record is from the annotation of a GenBank genome assembly.
GGCGCUGUGGCCGAGUGGUUAAGGCGACAGAUUCGAAUGCAAACGGACAAUGGUUUACGGUGUAAUCUGUUUCGGUUUCCGAGCGCAAGUUCAAAUCUUGCCGGCGUCG